GACGAACGCUGGCGGCGUGCUUAACACAUGCCAGUCGAACGGUGAAGCUCCAGCUUGCUGGAGUGGAUCAGUGGCGAACGGGUGAGUAACACGUGAGCAACCUGCCCCUGACUCUGGAAUAAGCGCUGGAAACGGCGUCUAAUACUGGAUACGAGAAGGGUCCGCAUGGGCACUUUCUGGAAAGUUUUUCGGUUGGGGAUGGGCUCGCGGCCUAUCAGCUUGUUGGCGAGGUAAUGGCUCACCAAGGCGACGACGGGUAGCCGGCCUGAGAGGGCGACCGGCCACACUGGGACUGAGACACGGCCCAGACUCCUACGGGAGGCAGCAGUGGGGAAUAUUGCACAAUGGGCGAAAGCCUGAUGCAGCGACGCCGCGUGAGGGAUGACGGCCUUCGGGUUGUAAACCUCUUUCAGCAGGGAAGAAGCGAAAGUGACGGUACCUGCAGAAGAAGCACCGGCUAACUACGUG
This 468-nucleotide ribosomal RNA is filed under the name uncultured bacterium. RNAcentral describes it as "partial 16S ribosomal RNA". It matches the Rfam family "Bacterial small subunit ribosomal RNA", at positions 28 to 507 of the family's 1533-position model. The record is from RNAcentral.